CUUGUCUCAAAGAUUAAGCCAUGCAUGUCUAAGUAUAAGCAAUUAUACCGCGAAACUGCGAAUGGCUCAUUAAAUCAGUUAUCGUUUAUUUGAUAGUACCUUACUACUUGGAUAACCGUGGUAAUUCUAGAGCUAAUACAUGCUAAAAAUCCCGACUUCGGAAGGGAUGUAUUUAUUAGAUUAAAAACCAAUGCCCUUCGGGGCUCCCUGGUGAUUCAUAAUAACUUCUCGAAUCGCAUGGCCUUGCGCCGGCGAUGGUUCAUUCAAAUUUCUGCCCUAUCAACUUUCGACGGCUGGGUCUUGGCCAGCCAUGGUGACAACGGGUAACGGAGGGUUAGGGCUCGACCCCGGAGAAGGAGCCUGAGAAACGGCUACUACAUCCAAGGAAGGCAGCAGGCGCGCAAAUUACCCAAUCCCGACGCGGGGAGGUAGUGACAAUAAAUACUGAUACAGGGCUCUUUUGGGUCUUGUAAUUGGAAUGAGUACAAUUUAAAUCCCUUAACGAGGAACAAUUGGAGGGCAAGUCUGGUGCCAGCAGCCGCGGUAAUUCCAGCUCCAAUAGCGUAUAUUAAAGUUGUUGCAGUUAAAAAGCUCGUAGUUGAACCUUGGGCCUGGCUGGCCGGUCCGCCUCACCGCGUGCACUGGUCCGGCCGGGCCUUUCCCUCUGGGGAACCGCAUGCCCUUCACUGGGUGUGCUGGGGAACCAGGACUUUUACUUUGAAAAAAUUAGAGUGUUCAAAGCAGGCCUAUGCUCGAAUACAUUAGCAUGGAAUAAUAGAAUAGGACGUGUGGUUCUAUUUUGUUGGUUUCUAGGACCGCCGUAAUGAUUAAUAGGGACAGUCGGGGGCAUCAGUAUUCAAUUGUCAGAGGUGAAAUUCUUGGAUUUAUUGAAGACUAACUACUGCGAAAGCAUUUGCCAAGGAUGUUUUCAUUAAUCAGGAACGAAAGUUAGGGGAUCGAAGACGAUCAGAUACCGUCGUAGUCUUAACCAUAAACUAUGCCGACCAGGGAUCGGACGAUGUUAUUUUUUGACUCGUUCGGCACCUUACACGAAAGUACAAGUUUCUGGGUUCUGGGGGGAGUAUGGUCGCA
RNAcentral lists this ribosomal RNA (1092 nucleotides) under Bullimyces communis. Its description in RNAcentral is "SSU rRNA". It matches the Rfam family "Eukaryotic small subunit ribosomal RNA", at positions 31 to 1133 of the family's 1831-position model. Lineage: Eukaryota; Fungi; Ascomycota; Sordariomycetes. The record is from RNAcentral.